CCUACGGGUGGCAGCAGUGAGGAAUAUUGGUCAAUGGACGAGAGUCUGAACCAGCCAAGUAGCGUGAAGGAUGACUGCCCUAUGGGUUGUAAACUUCUUUUAUAAAGGAAUAAAACGAGGCACGUGUGCCCUUUUGCAUGUACUUUAUGAAUUAGGAUCGGCUAACUCCGUGCCAGCAGCCGCGGUAAUACGGAGGAUCCGAGCGUUAUCCGGAUUUAUUGGGUUUAAAGGGGGCGUAGAUGGGUUGUUAAGUCAGUUGUGAAAGUUUGCGGCUCAACCGUAAAAUUGCAAUUGAUACUGGCAGUCUUGAGUGCAGUUGAGGUAGGCGGAAUUCGUGGUGUAGCGGUGAAAUGCUUAGAUAUCGCGAAGAACCCCGAUUGCGAAGGCAGCUUACUAAACUGUGACUGACAUUGAUGCUCGAAAGUGUGGGUAUCAAACAGGAUUAGAUACCCGAGUAGUU
RNAcentral lists this ribosomal RNA (460 nucleotides) under uncultured bacterium. Its description in RNAcentral is "partial 16S ribosomal RNA". It matches the Rfam family "Bacterial small subunit ribosomal RNA", at positions 338 to 795 of the family's 1533-position model. The record is from RNAcentral.